This 527-nucleotide ribosomal RNA is filed under the name uncultured Lachnospiraceae bacterium. RNAcentral's name for it is "partial 16S ribosomal RNA". The record is from RNAcentral. Lineage: Bacteria; Bacillati; Bacillota; Clostridia; Lachnospirales; Lachnospiraceae.
CACGUAGUUAGCCGGGGCUUCUUGGUCGGGUACCGUCCGCAGCUCUCGCGAACCGUGUUUCUUCCCCGCUGACAGAGCUUUACGCGCCGAAACGCUUCUUCACUCACGCGGCGUCGCUGCAUCAGGGUUUCCCCCAUUGUGCAAUAUUCCCCACUGCUGCCUCCCGUAGGAGUUUGGGCCGUGUCUCAGUCCCAAUGUGGCCGUCCGCCCUCUCAGGCCGGCUACUGAUCGUCGCCUUGGUGGGCCGUUACCCCGCCAACCAGCUAAUCAGACGCGGGUCCAUCCCGUACCACCGGAGUUUUCAAGAAAGGAACAUGCGUCCCCUUCUGUUAUGCGGUAUUAGCACCUGUUUCCAGGUGUUAUCCCCCGGUACGGGGCAGGUUCCCCACGCGUUACUCACCCGUCCGCCACUAAGGCCCGCGCCUUCCGGGUCUGGUAAACCAUCCCCUUCCGCCGCCUGGCCCCCGUUCGACUUGCAUGUGUUAGGCACGCCGCCAGCGUUCAUCCUGAGCCAGGAUCAAAACUCU